Molecule: long non-coding RNA, 813 nt
Organism: Brassica napus (rape)
Lineage: Eukaryota; Viridiplantae; Streptophyta; Magnoliopsida; Brassicales; Brassicaceae
Exons: 2
Source: RefSeq, a predicted model, not a curated record
GGAAGCCGUGGCGAGAAUAUGGAUUUCAUUGCUGUGAUGAGAUCAUGAGAGUUAUGAUUAUGAUCAUAAUCCGUUGUCUAGAUGGGAUUAGAGUUUCCGGCAUCUGAAUCACCACCGUACCGGUGAAGAGACAAAGUAGCAGAAAGCUGAAUGUUUCUUAUCUUCUGACAAUUUUUGUUUUCAAUUUCUGCCACAAGAACUCUUGCUAAGCUUAUUUGACUGAUUUGUGCUGUAGAUCAUGAAGACCUGAAGAACCUACUCAUUUUAUCCAAAUCAAUCAGAGAAGUUUGUAACAGAGUUUGAUAGCUAAAGAGUUACAUUUUCCAUAACUUGAGUUUUUUAAAACCAAGUUGGUCUCGAGCUAUCAAUUGGAAGACGUUGAGUUUCCUAAAGCACCGGUUCAUCAUUGUUGGACCAAGGCUAAGAGGAAAGAGCAACUCUCUCGGUGGAAUUGCUUACUUGGAAAUGAUGAUGAUGAUGAUUUAUGUAGAUGGUUGGGUUCAAGAGGCUAAGUGUUUAGUAUAAUUUGUACAUGAAUAUAUUUUCUAUAAAAACUGAAAUGGUUUUAAUGUAUUUCAGCCAUUCAAAGAAAAUGUUUUAGGUGAAGCUUAAGGAAAUCAAAACUGUUUUACAAACAACGUCACUGGAAAAAAUAAUGUGGUGUGAAACAGCUGGUCAUGUUCUCAUAGAUGCUAAUCUCCGAGAUUUAGGUUGUGCGUGACAUUUGGGAAGUUAUAAAAUGCAUACCCUGAUCUGUGAUAUGUAAGAUUCAGUUUAGAUACAUGUCAUGACAUAUAUGAUUUUCAUAUUAUA